Molecule: long non-coding RNA, 278 nt
Filed under: Elaeis guineensis (African oil palm)
Lineage: Eukaryota; Viridiplantae; Streptophyta; Magnoliopsida; Arecales; Arecaceae
Description: long non-coding RNA (EGUI_LNC052366)
Source: RNAcentral
CCCCCUAACUUCUUCAAAACCCUGCAUUGAAGUGCACAAAUGAGCACUUGAACUAGAAUCAAGAAUCCAACUAGAAGAAGAGGAAAUCAUUAGAUUAGUUUCAAUAACAAGCAACUCAGAUGUACCUUCAGAAGAUCCAUCCUUCUUCCUACUUUUGACAGUCGUCAGGUAGGUCAGACAGUUUCUUCUCCAGUGGUCUUCGAUAUUGUAAUGAAAAUAUUUUUCUUUGUCAUCAGUCUUCUUCGAAACCAAUUUCUUAAGCUUGACCUCAUUCUUCU